GGAGAGAAUCCGCGCGCUGAGAAGAUGUCCCCGCGUCCGCCGCCUCCCGGGGCCACGCGCCGUCCCAGCUCGCGCCCGCCAGCUCCCGGCGCCGCGGCCCGGCACUAGGACCCCAUAAAGGAAGGAGGGCGCGCCGGCGGCGGCGCCGCACUUACCGCGCUCGGCUCGCCCGCGCCGCCGGCUCGCUCCCCGGCAGCAGCCGCCGCGUCCGCCCGAGCCGCGCGCACACCGCGCCGGGCCAAAUUCAAAGGAGCCGGGCGCGGGGGAGGGGGGCCCCGCCGAGGGAGCGGGGAGCGGGCGCCGGCGGGGCGGGGGCGGGGAGGGGGCGCGAGUGUUACAACUUCCUUCCCUGCCCGCCCCCGGCCGCGCGGCCCGGGGACGCGGGAGGGGAGGGCGCCCGCGCGCCAAUGAGUUCACUUUCUUUCUCUCCCCCGCGCUCCCCCUCUCCCCGCCCGCCGGCCCCUCCAGCCUCCUCCAAGGCGGCGGACCAGGCCGGGCCGGAGUUUUCGGGGUUCAGCCCGCGAGCGGGAGGACCGGGGAGGCGAGGGAGGAGGAAGGCGAGAAGGGCCAGAUCGCGGGAGAGCCCAAUCACGGGGCGAGCUGGACCUGGCUGUGAUCAUUUAUAAUCCUUGACUCCUCCGCUCCGCCACUUGUCAAGAUGACAGGGGUCAUCCGUGAAUAACACUUCACGCUGAUGAAUGGCUCUUGCCGGCUUUCGGCUCUGAUGAGGGGUCUGCCCGCCGCCGAUUGAAAACACUAAUGAACUUACUGCGCCAUUUGAAAUUCACACGCACCAACAAAAUGGGGGGUGGGCAUUUCAGGUCAGCUGAGUCACCCGAGGAGGUGGCAGUGCAAGACACUGCCGGGAAGACGGAUUCCGAGGCAGAAGGGUGUAAUUAAGGAUUUCCACCCCCGGUAGGCGGCCCGUCCUUUGCAGAGCCUCUGAAAAUGACCCGCGCCUUCCUUUCCACAGUGUUCUUUCGUCCGAGACCGAAAAGCGCAAAUGACCUUUGGACAGGGAAGGGAGGCAGUAAACACUCAGACUUCCUUACCAGCCCCUGGUGGGCACUGCAGCAGAACAAUUGUCUGCCCCCCAGGUUCAAGCACCUAGGCCUCCGCCCCGCAUCACCUGGCCAGGGGCGGACCCGGGAGUCCUCCGAAGGCUCCACUCCCCACUUUUACUACUCUUCUUUCCUCUCCAUUCUCCCCUCAGAUUAGCGGCCGGACACUGUCCCUGCCUCGAUUUUGUUUGCUGUGGGAGGGAAAAAAAAAGUUUGCUGCUCCUCCCAAGACACUGGCCACUUUCUACUCACUGAAGUUCCCACCGCAGCGCUGGCUCCCGGCUCCCUAGCUCCCGCCCCCUGUCUGCAGGAAAGCCCUCCCCCGGAGCUUCCGAAACUGCUGGAGGUUCCAGAGUUUUGUAGCUCCGAAUGGGCGACCUGAGCCGAACCGCUCUCUGGCUGGGUGGUCGGCGGGAUCCUUCAGGCUCCUUUCGGGUCCGGGACGGGGCGGCGGCAGAGGUGGGGCGUGCGUGCUUGGGGCUGCCGAGUGAGUGCGGCUCCCUGGUGCGCGCCCGAGCAUCUCCCCGCCCUCUCCUGGGACCAGCAGUCUGCCCGUGGAGGGCUAGGAGCCCGCGACCAGGCCUGCCCCGGCCGUCGCCAACCUGUCCUUGGAAGCGUGGCGGAGACUGGUGCGCUCUCAGCCUCGUCGCGCCAGCCGCCUCGCGCCACCCUCCACUUUCAGCUUCAGAGCAGAGGAUUCCGCCGACCUCCACCUGUACCUGUACUCGGCCGUUAGGAAAUCCACUUGCAUUUUUAACUACCGUGCAGAACCAGAAACAGAUCGAGCACUGGGAGAACAAGGACGACGCCUCCUAGGAAAGCCUGAACCUUUAUGUUAGUUUAUCCAAAGUUUGGGCUAGAAGUGAGGAGAAUCCCUAAACUCGAGGUGGUGUGCCCAGACCCACAGCCCGUGUUCCCGAAGUUGCUAAGUGCCCGAGCGCAGCGCGUUAAGUAGAGAAGUCUUGGUAGUAAGCGAACCCGACCCGGCUCUCGGGGCGCUAGUGACGGAAAGCAGCACGCAUAUCUUUGCGGGAAGAAUCUAGAGUCGCCCUGGGAUAGAUCCAUCUCCUUCUGCCACUGAAUUUCACACUUGAAAAAGAUAAGGUCAUGGGGGCGGAUGAAUGAUAUCCCUCACUCAUUUAGCCAUUCUUAUUAUUAUAUAAAAAAAAGGCUUGUCAAUUAUGAAGGUGUGUCCCAGAUAUUACAUGAAGAUCAUGCAAACUACUUGAAAUUUGAAUCCGGACAUGAUCGUAAGGAAACUCUUUCAUAAAGCACUUUUGUGGCCUAGUUCCCACACACACACAAAAGUAUUAGGUCUUUAAAACUUUUCCAAGUAGUAAGUGAGACUCCCUCUUACUGUCUACGAAUACACAAUAAAGAGAUGAGACACUGCCCCAAUCCUAAAGAGGCCAGAACUGAAGUGCUACAUUGUGUGAGUUAGGGGAUGCUUCUUUUUUCCAGCUCUUUUUUCUAGAAUCCUCAUUACAGCUAACGCUGGUAAUAAAGGUAGGAAAACAAUAGAACUCAUAAAACUUAGAAAUGGUAAUAAAUCUUGGCUCCUGUCUCUAGCCCAGUUCCUUCUUACAUGAGAUUCAAAGUUUUUCAGUAUGCAAUGCUGAACGUUCACACUAUGGUUGCAAAAUAGAAAAAAAUACUCUAGAACUCAUUAAUACGGCCCUGCGCACUCUAUGCCAGGCGUCGCUGGUGGACAAAGCGCGCAGGGGUCCUCCUCUACGUCUGCCUGCGCCUGUAAUCCAGGCAGCUUACGUGUGUUAAAUUUGGGUCUCUCUCUGUCUCUCACACAAAGAAGUUCCAUCAUUUGAGGCCGUUAGGAAAAGCUGAUGUUGUGCAGUGCCAAACUACCACACGCUUCCUCCUUCGGAUGAAUCCCUGGAAAGCAGAGAGGCAGCUCGCUACGUGACCAUCAUGCUUUUUACCUCACUGAGCUGUUGUCAAGAGAGGGCGGGGAUGGCGGGCAGCUCACGUCGUGCCCUCCGCAGCAAUAAAAACUGGAGCGGGAGAAGAAAUGCAAGACAUCGCUGUCUGUUUUGCAAGCCUCUGGCCGCUCUCAGCAAACUCUGCCCGGCGCGGCUGGUGACUUUGCGGUGUGAACGCAGCCGGUCGUGCUCGGGAUAAUGGGACCGAGCUGGCGGCAUCGCCCUCCCGUGGGCCCCUCUUGCCACACAGAUGCGCAGCUCUCCAAAAGGAAAAUGUGGCCCAGCAACCCUCGCCUAGCCCUAGUCCUAGGAAUGCAUGCCUGGGGCCUUUGGAAGCCUCUCAAAGGGCUGGGGGGCGGGGGGGAGGGAUAUAAUGGGCCGAACCUCUGGAUUCAUUUUGGGGAAGAGGAGACAGGUUCUUGCCCCACUACUGAGGCAAGGCCAACAGCACCCUGCCCUGCUGCUCCACCGCCUCCCCGCGGGUCAAGUCUCAGCCGAGUGUCGCUGCCCACCUGAAGGUGACACCUGUCCAUUUUAGUCAGCAUCACAUGCGCCUUCCCUUUCUCCCCUUUGGGGUCUGUCCGUUUUCUCCUCCUGUCCUAAAGAGCCAGCUUGGAACUGAAGGGGCCGGGUAGCAGCUGUUUGUGCCUCUUGCCCGUGCAGACUCGAGGGUCUCCGCAGCCACUUCCUCCUUUAACACGCGAGGCUUUCAGGCGUGCAGAAGGGGACCGCCGGGUCAGGCAGGUAUUAGGCUCUCCAAGGACACUUGUGGACAUCACUGGAGUUUACCUAUUGUUUGGACUUUAUUACAUCUGCUUUAGCAAACGGAGGCAUGAGCGGCCUGUCUGCUGGGUUCAAACCCAGUUGCUGCCCCGGCUGCAACCUCUCCCACUCAAGAGACCCUAGGAACGAUGAGGAACGGGGUAGAAAUGACCAGGGGAGCCAAAUCUCAGGUACCGAGACCUUCCAGCUCACCCCUCAGGCUCAGGAAAGCCAAUAACCCACAUAUGCCCAAAAGGAGCUUAUGUCUCAACUGAGAACAGCAAAUAGGUGAUGGGCCACUUUAGAACAGAGGCUAAAGGCUGGUAGCCACUGAGCAAAACCCAAAUUCUAGGCACCUGAGGUGUUUCCCUUACACAAGUGCCUUCACAGGUAGCAAGCAAUUAAUCUGCAACAGUGAACAACACUAAAACUUAAAUUUUACAUGGAAGUCUCUCAAGUAGACAAAGUUAUUAUUGGGUGGGGUUUUCCCCCCACUGGCAAAAAAAUAACUUAUCCCUUGGCUGUUAGAUUGAGGGAACUAUAAAACAAAUAUUUUAAUUCGAUCACUGACAAAGUCAUAAAAUUCAAUGACUGUUUGUAGAGGAAAACAUGCUUUCAUUAUCUUAAUUAAAGCAAGAUAAGCCUCUCUCAAUGUGCAUGCAUUUUGGAGCCACUGAAUGGACUGGUGAUGAGACGAAGCAACCUUUAAUUGGGACCAUGCUUCUCCAGUACAUUCGUUUGUAUUCCAUGGUGUAAACCGGGCCUUACGCGUGGCUCCGACCUUCGGUGGAAAUGCAUUUGCGUAGCACCACCCAGGGGCUCCCUUGCUUUGGCUAGAGCCUCAUAAAAGACCCCAGGUUUUGCGAAGGAUUUUGAACACCAGCGUCUUUUAACAUGUGGAACUUUCGGUUUUGGUUUAGCUCUGUGAACGUAUUUAAAACUUGCUACAUUAUUCCACAGUGAAAGUUGGAACCUUUUUAAGAGUUAUCAUAGAGUGCCUUUUAACAUCUGUCAUAUUUUCUAUAAACAACUUUUCAGUGAGAAGCGUAUAUAGUGUACUCGAGGUAGGCAUUAGCUGCUGGCAAGGUUUAUGAUACAAUAGUGACACUACAGGACAAUUUUUUAGUCAAACAACACCCGUUAGAUAUUUCAGGGUCCAGCUUAUAUGUUAACUUGUAAAUAUAGGUUAAAAAUAUAGGUAUCAAGUGACUAAAUUCAGUAUCAGACAAAUUGAACAUCUUUUUAUUUCCCAGAAGUGCCCUACUCUUUCUCCUCCCUUUGGUGACCUCUUAGUCUGGAAUGCUCUGCAUCCGGGGCCCCUGGAACACAUAGUUUUUAAAGUACCUAUUAGUGAUACUCUCCUCCCGUUGGCAGUGCUUCCACUGUGUUUUCUGCAUGUAAUAAAGGAUGGCACUGUUUUUUGCAUAGGUCUUUCCUAAUAGCUGAGCACUCUUGGAGUGUAGGGGCUCAACCUUAUGCCUCUUUGGACACACAAGCCUAGCCCAUGGGCUGGCAUAUAGGAGCUGCUCAAUAAAUGUUUGUUGAACGAAUGAGUGGAUACACGAAUAAAAUAUUUUCAUUGUCUUUAGCCCCUCUGACUUUCUUUUUUAAACAGGGGUAUGUCAUAAAUAAAAUUUACCUUGAAAAUGCAUUUAAGUACACUGUUCUACUUCUCUGACCAUGAAGUUUUUAAUGGGACAUCGUUUUAAAAUUCUGGUCAUUACAACGAACCACUUUUGACCUUGGUUGACUUUUCUCAGAAUCAUAAUGCGAAGUAAAGACAAAAACAAUGAGAAAAGGCAAAGAGAUCAAAUUUUGGUUUUCUCUUUUUCAGUAGGAUAUGAUGUUUAUCGAAAUUUGGAAACAAAUUGUAGCAAGCACCUAUAACAUGUAGAUACUCAUGUUUUUAUAUUAAAUAUGACAUUAUUUAUAAAACCCUGUCGUCCUCCAAAUUCCCUUUGGAUUUUUAGUGGUAAGAAGUGUAGAGCCUAAGAUGACUGCUUUUCAUUUCUUCAAGACAAGGGUUCAGCUGGUAUUGGGGAAACAAUCUUUGUUUGUUCCUGUCUGCUCAGGAGGACUGUUUCUAAUUGAUCUGGCAUGGAAUUUAGUUGGAGAUGUGUAUGUUGCAACUGAAGCGCAGAGCCUGUGUGCUUUGUAAAGUGAUAACCAUAUGGGCCUUAUUUGAAACAUUUGAGGAUUUUCGACAUUAACCUGGGUUAAAUUGAGCUAUAAAUUCAACUCAAAUGUAUAUGUCCUGACAAAUUCAUCAUCACUUUGGAUAGAUUCAAUCCAUGCUUCCCUCAGAUUAAUAAAGAUGAUGACCGCUUAUCACACAUGCAAAGAUUCGUCGUGAUAAAGUACCAUAAUGUUGUACUUUGCACUGUUUAAAUGCAAAUUGCCCAUAUUAAGCAGACCUUUUCUACUGUUAUCACUUUCAGUAGAAUGGAAAUGUUUAAAAAUGAUCUCUGGGUAAAGAAAAGGAUAUAUAGUCAAAUCUAUUUCCUCUUACACCAUUUGCAAGUGCACUUCGCUAUCAUCAUGAAGAUUUAAUUAAGCAAGCUCAGCUAGGCUAAAAAGCAAAGAGGCUGAAAGUUACUACUUAUAGAAACAUAUUCAGGACUUACACAAAAUAAUUUAUUUACUAUUCUUCAUUUAGGGAUUUGAGCAACCACUGAAGGUUAAGAAUACAACAGAAUUCUAUAGCUCCUUUCCCCUAUUUCUGAAUAUCAAAUUUAGAGCUUAGACUUUGUUACAGAUAAUAGUACUAAGUUAUGGAUGUUGAUGGGUCUUCCCUUGCAGCUUUAAAUUGCCUUGAAAAAGAUACAGUUUCUUUAAUUAAAAAAGCUGCACAGAACUAAUCCCUCUAGCUGAAAAAAGAAAAGUUUUAAGCAAUCUCUUUCUGCUCCGAGAGAGAAAGGCAGACAAUACCAUAACAGAUCAGAAACAUAAGCUAUAGUGUGCAGCCAGGAGCACAGCAGGGAACUGAAUACUGCUCCGACUGUGUCAUUUUUUAAUCCCCCAUCCCAGUUUUCCCCGUCUGACCUCAUGCUGAGAUGAAGUUAUCACAGAAGACAGCUUUACUCUCACCAAUGAAUCCAACCCUGGAUCUGUAUUAUCCUUAGCAGAUCAAAACACCGCUUUCAUCAAAUAGCAUUAUCUGCAUAAAAGGCAUGCAAUUGCCUGAUAAUUUCACCCAAACUAUGCUAUUCAUUUAAAGGACAAGAAGAGAAAUGUAAUUCAUUCCUUUUUGGGGGGGGGGAGGUGGCAGAGAAGAGUGAGACUUGGGGAGAGGCAGAGGCUGGAAAAGCUAACUUAUCCCCUUCACUCAUGGGAACUUUCCUGUUUUUAACACAAAAUCCCAAGAAGGGGUCCAUUUAAAAGUCCCCCUACUCCUGCGCUUUAAGAUUAAUUGUUGGAGCAAUUUGGUGCAGUUUGAGUGACAAAAGUGUAAGUUGUGUAGAAAACUGGCAGUGAGAAAUUACAAAGCUUGCUGAUGUCAUUAGCCAUGCUUCCAUGAACCCCAAUAAAAACAUCAUAUCCAGUAAAAUUGGAGAAGCACAAGAAUUAGCUGGACAAUUGGAUGAAGUUUAACACAACGUUGUAUUGGGUGGGGGGGGAUGCUGACUGGAGAUCUUUCUGUGCAUUAUGAGAAGUUUGAAUCCUUACAGUGGGAAGACAAAAGACAGAUUCCACAAUUCUGAGUUGACACUUUGAAAAAUAUUUAAGAAAUCUUAGGCGUCAAGACUAGCUCUUUUUUAAAAUUUAGAAAAUACUUUAGCCUCUUUCAGAAUGCCUUUUUCAUCUUAUGUUGAAACAGUGUUCUCAUUUGCAUUGUAGAUUGUAUAAGCUGUUAUAAUGGGCUUCUCUUUAAUGGAUCCUAACUCCUUAUUGAAUGACAUCAGUUGUUUUGCUCAAGGUAUGGUGAUAGGUUAGAGCAAUCAGCCAAAACCAUUUGUGUCAAGUAAAUGGAAUUACUAAGAAGUACUAAAACUCCCACGUGAGUAUGGGUGACCUAUUAGGUAUGUGUUAAUAUCCUUAUCAUAUGUUUUACUCACCGUAAUUUCAAUGAUUUUGCUUGAAAAUGUAAAUCUUCCACCCAGCCCUUUCAGAACUCACUAUGUAAACUGACCCUGCAAGAAAUUCAGUUUAAUCUCUACCCUUCCAUCACCCAGACAACAUCUAUACACAAAAAUGUGUAGGACAAAGAAUCAGAACUGCUUGAAAAAAGAACAACAAUAGCAUGCUUCAAAUCAGAGGCAAGGAACACUCCUGGAAAUUCAUGAG
This 8044-nucleotide long non-coding RNA is filed under the name Homo sapiens (human). Its description in RNAcentral is "non-protein coding lnc-DCTD-65:4". Lineage: Eukaryota; Metazoa; Chordata; Mammalia; Primates; Hominidae. The record is from RNAcentral.